Molecule: ribosomal RNA, 606 nt
Filed under: Triticum aestivum (bread wheat)
Lineage: Eukaryota; Viridiplantae; Streptophyta; Magnoliopsida; Poales; Poaceae
Description: partial small subunit ribosomal RNA
Source: RNAcentral
AUGAAUUAUCUAAGCUGGAACUGCCGGGGGCUUGGGAACCCCGAGGCAGUUCGAGAGGUUCGCAAGAUUGUGAAGCAAGAAGGGCCUUCCCCGGUUUUUGUUAUGGAAACAAAGAUUAGGGCGACAAGGGUGGAAAGCUUAAAGCACUCACUUGGGUUUGCAGGAUGUUUCGCGGUUGAUAGUAUUGGUCUCAGUGGUGGAAUUGGACUGUUUUGGUCCAAGGAUGUUACGGUUGAAUUACAAAAUUUCAGUUCUGGUCACAUAGAUGUUAUGGUCCGGAAAGCUGAUGAUACUGCUCCGACAUGGAGAUUUACCGGGUUCUACGGAGCCCCAAGAAGUGAGGAAAGACAUCACAGUUGGAGGUGUUUGCGCACACUGCAUGGUAUUCAACAUGAGGCAUGGUUGUGUGUCGGCGAUUUCAACGAGACGGAGCAGACACUAAACACUUCAGUCGCGCUGCUAGACCGGAGUGGCAGAUGCGUGCGUUUCGGGAGGUGUUGGAGGACUGUUCUUUGCAGGACUUGGGCUUCUCUGGCAUACCUUUUACAUGGGAUAAUAGACAGGCAGGUGGUGCUAAUGUUAAAGCCCGCCUUGAUCGUGCUGUAG